UGGCCGCGCAAGUCCGUCGGGAAAUCCAACGGCUCAACCGUUGGGCGUCCGGCGGAACCUGCCCGGCUUGGGACCGGAAGGCUCGAGGGGUACGUCCGGGGUAGGAGUGAAAUCCCGUAAUCCUGGACGGACCACCGAUGGCGAAAGCACCUCGAGAGGACGGAUCCGACAGUGAGGGACGAAAGCUGGGGUCUCGAACCGGAUUAGAUACCCGGGUAGUCCCAGCCGUAAACGAUGCUCGCUAGGUGUGGCGCAGGCUACGAGCCUGCGCUGUGCCGUAGGGAAGCCGAGAAGCGAGCCGCCUGGGAA
Molecule: ribosomal RNA, 309 nt
Filed under: uncultured archaeon
Lineage: Archaea
Description: bacterial SSU rRNA
Rfam family: Archaeal small subunit ribosomal RNA
Source: RNAcentral